RNAcentral lists this long non-coding RNA (749 nucleotides) under Pan troglodytes (chimpanzee). RNAcentral's name for it is "lincRNA". The record is from RNAcentral. Lineage: Eukaryota; Metazoa; Chordata; Mammalia; Primates; Hominidae.
GCCUGCUGCGGUCCUGGCAAGCACCUCGGGAUCCCAUUCCUUCACAGGGACCCUAGCCAGGCAAGCGCGCGCCUCACUGUACCGGAGAGCUCCAAGCACGCGCUUGGUCUGGGGCCCGGACGCUACAUCUGGGAAGGGUUAAAGCUGAUACAUUCCUGUGGGUCAACUAUGCAACUAACUCAGAUUUUGAGCAAACAAAGCUCUCAAGUUGGUGAUCCUCAGGAGUCUCUGCAUUAGUUGGACAGCUCUUCUGGAAUUAUCUUCUAAGUCAACUGUGGGUUGGGUAGGUGGCUCUGCUGAUUUUUCGCUGGACUUCCACAUUUGGGACCAGUUGGCUGUCAUCAGCUCUAGAAAGGGUGUGGCCGUUUUACAUUGGCUGUUUUCCUCACAUUCCUCAAGCAGGUACUGUAGUAAAGAACUGGAGAAAUACAGUCAGAUGGGAAGUAGCCCCUACUGUCAAGGAGCUUGCCAUCUAAUGGGGGAGACAGGCAAGUAAACCAAAGACUACACAGUGCAGUAUGGUAAGUGCCAUGAUUUUGAUGUGACAGGGCACAGUGGACGACCUUCCAAAUCAAAGCAAGUAACUAGGGGUUGACAAUGGUAAGUAUCAUAGUUGAAGUAUCCUUGAACAAGGUUUCAGGAAGAAGAAGAAGGGAAUUUCAUGCAGGGAAACAGCCAAAGCUCAGUGAGUCAAAAUAUCACAGCAUUCUUGGUAAGCCCAAUUUUUUUUUUCUAUUUUGCUAUUUUGG